This 434-nucleotide ribosomal RNA is filed under the name uncultured Lachnospiraceae bacterium. RNAcentral describes it as "bacterial SSU rRNA". It matches the Rfam family "Bacterial small subunit ribosomal RNA", at positions 341 to 792 of the family's 1533-position model. Lineage: Bacteria; Bacillati; Bacillota; Clostridia; Lachnospirales; Lachnospiraceae. The record is from RNAcentral.
ACGGAAGGCAGCAGUGGGGAAUAUUGCACAAUGGGGGAAACCCUGAUGCAGCGACGCCGCGUGAGUGAAGAAGUUAUUCGUAAUGUAAGGCUCUAUCAGCAGGGAAGAAAAUGACGGUACCUGACUAAGAAGCCCCGGCUAACUACGUGCCAGCAGCCGCGGUAAUACGUAGGGGGCAAGCGUUAUCCGGAUUUACUGGGUGUAAAGGGAGCGUAGACGGUCUGGCAAGUCUGAUGUGAAAGGCAGGGGCUCAACUCCUGGACUGCAUUGGAAACUGUCAGUCUUGAGUGUCGGAGAGGUAAGCGGAAUUCCUAGUGUAGCGGUGAAAUGCGUAGAUAUUAGGAGGAACACCAGUGGCGAAGGCGGCUUACUGGACGAUAACUGACGUUGAGGCUCGAAAGCGUGGGGAGCAAACAGGAUUAGAUACCCUGGUA